CGGCGUCCGAGGAGCAAGACAAUGUAUUGUCACGCUCCUCGCGCGUUCCCCACCCCAAAGUAAAUCGGCUACCCUCACCACCGGUUUAUUUCUCGUCAGGUUGCGCGCGCACGCACCCCCACCGCUCCGACCAAUCGGGGUGAAGCGGAGUGAGGGAAGAAGCGCGUCGAGAGCCCCGCGAGGCAGAACAUGCCGAGUGGCUGCGAAAGCACAGAAUCAUUACCACGCCAGAACUCGAGGAGAACAGACGUGUUUCUCGUUUACCCUGAGCUCAGUCGAGAUCUCUCGUGUCGCUCCGUAUUCUCGUCUUUUCUUUUAUCGUCGCUCCCUGUUGUAAGCGCGCCGCUCAAAAUACGCGUGUGAUAUAUCGCGCCAAAGAGGACAGUUUGCGUGGCCAGCUGACGGUGUUAUCGUCGCUCAUGGAAGUACCGUUCUCAUUUUUAGUUGUACUGCCGAAGCAAGUACUUGUGGAACUAUCAAGCUGAUCUCGUGUCGCAACGAUCUUCGAGAUACCUCACGUGACUAUUCGCGCGAGAUAUUCUCGUGAGGACGACGUCACGCGGUCGACCCCCUGUAUGUGUUUACGAGUGACAUGAACCAACUGGUGCAGCCGCCAGCCGAACAACCGUGAGGACAUUGAACGUGGCGAUCGCGCGUUCGUGCUCCAGAAAUCUACCUCUCUCUGGAGAAGUCACGAAAAUUCGACGUGCUUCGUACAGUGCAUUCGAGCAGUCAAUCAACAGCUUUAAGAAGGGACAGUUCAAUCUCGGCGAUUCUCAGCAGGUGAUUUUUUUCAUGCGACAGUGAUUUUUCUUCCCCCUCCCCACCUCCCCCCUUUUUCUGCUUCAUCUCGAAAGUGUCGAAAGCAUGAACGAAUAAUUUCAUCAGAUGUCCGAGAAAAGUCUAGUUCCGAAAAUCGAAAAUUCAGACUCGUGCGAAUAGACAAGGUAGCAACCUCUACAGGGGUCUGCUGCAUGCGCGCACGCCACGUGCGAUCCGGGAUGAUGAACGUUGAGAACGUGCACCGGUGAAUUCGUACCGAUCACGUGUAGUAUUUCUGACGUGUCUACCGAUUCUACGAUUUACAGCACGAGACUUGGUAGAGAUUCCGAGCGAGGGGGAGGGGGGGUUUUCGGAGAGUGUGCGCGGGGGAGACAUAGAAAGUGAACAGUGAGACUCAACAAAAGACAUUGCUUGGUUCGGUUGCAGUGUAUCAAUCCCGGGCUAGGCGGGAGCGGUAACGAGUACGUAGCUUGGACUCGAGUUACAACUGCCCGCAAUUGUCCCGAAGAGUAGACGAGAGAGAGAAAGAGAAAGAGGAAGAGCGUGAGGAAGACAUCAUGGCGAUACCAUUUUUGCCCAAUAACGACGAGAGGACGACAACGGAGGAGCAGCUGAUGUACCAGCUGUAUGUGACCCUGCACAAUGCCCUCCGGAGCAGAAACGCCCAUCAUCCGUCGCGAAAUCAUCGGGCGCCGCGUCGAUCCGGCGGUUCUGGGUCCCAGCAACCUCUAGUGAUCUGGUUGCAACCUGGCAAUGUCGAAGACUUAUCGAACUUGCCACUGCCGGACCUGGUGCAAUCGGCCGUGGAUCAGUUGCCACCGCCGUCGCCCCAGGUGACAGUUUCUGUCCCUAGCAGCCCGAUGAGAGACGCGACCUUCCAGUUUCCUGAGUGUAAUAACGUCACCAUCAACGGUGCACCGUUGCCGAGCCCAAGGCCACGGCCACGAAGACGCUUCGCCUCGGAGAGCUCCGUCAUGGAGACGGGCCCGAUCGACCGAUCGAAGUGAACAACUGCAACGGUACCACCUGCCGCUGCCACCUCGGCCUGAUCCUCAACGAGAGGCAGUCGUGGACGAGCGUGGGUGCCAAUCUCAGGAACAUCGCCGGUGAUUUCCACGCGUGCAGGACCAAGGACGCCGAGAUCGAGAAAUCGACGCUACCGGUGAUCGGUCCAGGUUUGUCCAAUGGUCGCAACAGCAACUCGUCAUCCACCGACAGUCUGCUGUCGCUGUUGAUUCCGACGCCGUUGCGAGAGACCCUUUGGGCAACGGUCGCUCUAUAUCUUGGCUGGAGACUCGUCUCCCGCUUACGAUAGAUGCACCGAUUUCGCCCAGCCGUUCUGGGUGAUCCUACGGGCUCGAUCGACAAUUUCGUCGGCAACUGGAACGGCGGUAUUGGAGGCCACUGAAACGAUGGAACGGACGGACCGCCGGAAACUCCUUUCCUUGUAUGCGAUCGCAGAAGUCUUGGAAUCUUCUGGACGGAUUGUCUCGAAAGGAAAAGGAGGAGGCAGUCCACGGCGCGUACUCCGGAUCUCUCUGUGUGAUCGGAUGAUGGAUUUGAGGUAGAGCGCGUCGUGAAGACGAACCGUUCUUUUAUUUGAACAUCUACUUCGAUAAUACAAUUGUAAUUUUAUAUUGUCUGUUUUUGUAUUUCGCGUUUCUGCGUUAUGCGGCUACGCGAGAAUGCGCUUGAUCGACUUUGAUCGGUUCCUGAGGGACCAUACGACUGCAUAUAAAAUAUUGAUAUUUUGGAUCAUGAUGAAAGUAUACACAUUGUUAGAAAUGUUUGUGAAUUUACAAUACCCCUACAAUAAAAAUGUGCAGCAAAUUUACAAAUAUAAACGUUUCACGCAACGAUUUGAUGUAAUUUCGCAAUAUUUGUGAAUUUACGAUAAAAAUUUGCUGCAAUAUUACAAAACUAACGCGACGCGGAUGCAUAUUAGAAAUUUGCGCAUCUCGAGGCCCCGAGUAUUGUAAUUUCACAACGUAGUUGUGAUUUAAAGUCACAGUACAUUGUUGUUGGAUAAAAACUUCUACUUUGGUUGUGAUUUUACAACGGAAAUUUCUAACAUUGUAGUGAUAAUUAUUUGCUUCUGCGGCGUGCUUCUGAUUUUCUUAUGAUUGAUGAUUCUGAUUAAUUGAUUUAUUUGAUAAUUGAUAAUCGAGGAUUUAUUUGAUAGUUGGUAAUUCGUAAUUAAUAAUUGAUAAUUAAUGAUAAUAAUGGAUUGAUUUUAUAAUAAUUUUUAAUUGAUGAUUGUGAUAAUUGAAAAUGAUAAUAAUGAUUAAGUUGACGAGUCAUAGUUGCUCUCUACUAAAGGUAUUCCCCUUCAUCCUUUCUCGAGAAUGAAUGGGUUAGAAUUUAUAUAAAAAGAUCUUUAAUUGGAAACUUGGAUUGCAAGAUUCCAAAAAAGUUCUUAAUUAUUUUUUAUCGAUUAAAUCGACGGUAAAAGAAUCGACCAUUCGAUCUAUUUACUUCAUUACUAUUUAUCGAGAAUUGUGUUCUGUCGAUAAAUUGUGACUGUGAUUGCCGCGGAUUACGAAACAAAGAUUAGCGACGGCGGAACAGCGACGUCGAAGUACACAAGUGCAUUCUCGCGCGAUGCAGAAGUUAUUUUCAUACGUAGCGCUGUUCUUUCGCCCUUUGAAUUCGUAAGCGAAGGGCCGAGGACGGGGGACUAGAGUUUUAGGGGGAGGGAAUGGGGGGGGAGGUAGGUAACCCGGGCAAGAGUAAUCGAAUUGCGUAUUAUAUGGCGAUCGGACCCGAGACACGAGGAGAGAGGUAUUAAGGGUGACGGGGAAAAACUAAGGACGAGAUCCAAAGAGGAUUAAACCUAAUAAUCAAAUGAUGAUCUCAUUACGGAUAAAUAAAGAGAAUUAAAUAAAGUAGUGUGAUUAUAUGAGAGCGAGAGAGAGAGGGCGGACCAUACGCCCCCAAUUCUCUGUCUUCUCUUCGCGCGUCCGUCCCUCUCUUGAUCUCGCCAAGGUAAAAAGACUACUCUACGAUACGUGGCUUGUAGAUAAAAUGCGGCUCCCCGACCGGUAGCGGUCGACGGAACGAUUCUUGUCGAAGAUAUUUUUAACGGCGCCACGCCACGGUGAUGUCUCGCGAGGCCUGCUUAUCGUAAUAUAUUUCCUCGGAAAGAGACAACGAAGAUUUUUAAUACAUUUGACAAUAUAUAUCACGAGCCUAUAGCCAAAUGGAGCUGUUUUAAUCGAUUAGUCUGAAUUACAGUCAAUUCACACUUAUUAUAAUACUAAUAACAAUACAAUCGAUCGGCCUCGCCAGACGUCUACGGUGCGCGAGCGGAAUGUAUGUAUAUAAAGAGACAUUGAGAGGGAUGACGACGAUUCCAAAAAUGUUAAGAGGAUAGGGGACGAGCGAGGAGACGUAAGGUGGAGACAGGGGAGCAAACUUGUAUAUGCAUAGAGGAUUUAUCUAAAGUAAUAAAAACUCAGUAAUAAGUCGAUGUUAUAAUAAUUAAAGUAGAUAAUCGAUAGGCCGAGGAUCGCAGCAUCUUGAUUGGCUAGCUGCGACUCCCGUGGACAGUUUUCAAAUGAUCUCCGGUAGCUUAGCUAUUAGUAGGCGCUCUCGUGACGCUUUCGUGCGAGACGCCUUUCGCGGCACAUCGGAAGGAAUACCUUCUUCUUUCCCCUGUGCCCUUUCUAACUCGUCUAUUCUUCUCUUUCCUUCUUUCCCGUCUCUAUCUUCUUUCUUCUAUCGACAAAAACUGUCUAUCGAUUCUCUUGCUCUAACUCACCUAUCCUCAAUCUUCUACGCGAUCCCCUCCGUUUCACUUCCUUGCUUCGCAAUUCCAUGUUUAUCGACGACAGUUCUUCGCUGUUCUGUUGUGCGCGACGUAACGUAACGUAACGUAAUCUCUGAUCUCGAACUUAGCGUGUAUUGGUAAGAUUCGUGUGUUGUGUUCGCUCGACGAUCCAGAGUCUCAAUUUUUACGGGCGAGCGGGCCCGAGCCUUCUCGUUUUGCAAAAUUUCUCUUAGGGUUCUCUAGGUUUCUAGGUAGGAACGACGGAAGGGCUAGCCUAACGAGUGAGGGAGUGGGAACACAAUGUAUCCUUGGGCUUUCUCGUUCGGUUUUAAACUAUCGAGACCAAAACUAUCGAGGCUGCUGUACAGUCGUCCCUGCGGGCCGCGCUUUCUUUUCUCCCCAGUGCAAGUCUACUGCGUUUUUCUUUGUCUCCCUAUUGAUAAAAUGAACGUGACGUUACUCCGUCGAAGUAUUCCAGUGUGUAGGUCUAUAGUAUUUAUUUGUAGGCGAUACCAUUUUUCUACCGUUUAAUAAGGCCGCGUUUUGAAAUAAAUAUAUAUGCGCGGGCGGAAUACAUAUAUAUUACUGCCAUUUUGAGAUAAGCAAAUCCUCGCCAGACGCUCCCAAAACGGGAGUGGCUUUGUGGAAAGUCAAUAAUGUCGGUGUCCAUAACACGUAAUCUCUAAAGAUGAAAAUAGUUAGCGUCAUUUUGAGACAGAGAUAUUUAAAAGAGAAUACGAAUAUUUGGUACGCGCUGUGAGGAGAGCGUUGUACACGGUAUAUAAACUAACGCGUUGCUCUAAUCUCAAUAAGCGCGGAUUGUAGAGUCGAGUAUUUUCACAUCAUAUAACGUUUCAUUCUGUCGUGUUUUCGCGAGCCAUUUCUCAUCAGGAACUCAGAUCCAGUUUCGCAGAACGCGGAUCACCGUUGAACCUGCCGCAUGUCGAGUUUAUCGUCGAAUAAUAUUAUUAUUUGAUGAAAUUAAAUCAUUGUCUUAAAAAAUACAUUUAGCGAAUUUAUUUAAUUUUAAUAUGUAAAUAAUAAUUGACUGCAUUUUUUAAUUCGUUGAUUAAACUACUAAAAAAAUGGUUACAUAUUUGUGAAAAAUAAAUAACAAGUAUUGAAUUAUGUAUACAUUUUUAAUUAGAUCAAGAGAUCACGGUAGAUCAAAUUCUCAAGUAAUCUCAAUUAAUAGCUUCUUUUUACUCUGAAUUUUAUUUAACUGAAUUGUAUUUGGAAUUUCACAUCAGCAUAUCAAAAUUUGAUCAAGUUAUCAAAAUUCAGCGAAAAACGAACUAAACAGUUGUUAACGAUUCAGCGUACAACAAGGGGUAACCACUAGCUAAAAUGUUGUCCCACAGAUUACAUGAUUUUAUCUGAUUGCAAAUGAUUUCAUUAUUAUGAUUUCUGGUGAUUUCAUCUGAUUACACAAUGAGUUGUCGUGAGUGGAAUUCAUUAUAAUUGCUAAAAAAUUUUUCUAAAAAAAAAAAAUGUUAGAAAAAUUUUUAAUGACCUUUUUUUAGAAACAGCAUGCAUGGUGUAAUCUCUAAUAACUAUUUUUGACCAAAAAUUAAUUACAAAAGAGUUUACACUGAUUUCAUAAUAAAUUUCAUGAUGAUUGCACAUAAUUUCCAAUGACACAGAAAUCCAAAAUGGUUUCUGGUGGUUUUAUUAAGAUUUCUGAUAACUUCAUAUGAUUUCAUUAUGAUUUCUGGUGAUUUCAUCUGACUUCAUGAUUACAUCUGAUUGUAAAAUGAUUUCGAGGACAAUGUCACACGAUUACAUUAAGUGCUUACCCCCUUGGCGUACAACGUUAUAAUUUACAUCAAUACAAUUAAUUAUGACAUUUAUUGACGGUUACGAGUACCAAUGUCCUGGAGUUUCUAAAAUAAAUUAAUUUUGAAUGACGCCAGUGAUGGCUACAUCACAUCUUGACAUAAAAAUAUUGUAACAAACUUCAAGAUCUAUUAAAGUUAUAAAUUCGCUUGUUAAUUCGAUCUAUUAUUCAUUUAAAUUUGUUGUUAACAUAAACGAACUGGUCUAUUUGUUAUCAAAAUUUGACCAAUAUUCGGAAGAAUAAUCAGAUUUACUUGUAUUAACAAUAAUAAAAAUAUUAACAAUCGUCGAAAAAAAUACUUAUCUGGAUUCAACGGUAAUUCGUUUCUCGCAGUCGGUAGAAUUUCCAAUCUUCGAUCGGGUUUCCUCUGUGCAGCUUGCUCCUUUCACGGAGAGAGCACGCAAAGGUACAAGAUUAUCAUGUAUACAUAUUCGAUAUAGCUUAGUGUUCGUCAUUGUAUCGCGGGAGCCGAGCCACGAGCUAAGAGGGUAACUCUUUCUCGGGGGAGGUUGUUGUAUUGCAUUCCGACCAAAGGGAAAAUCCCCGUUUUCCUGCAGCGCGGUGAAACGAAACGCGAGACGGCCUAAAAGAAAGGUCGCGGCCAUUUAAUCCUUUUACUCCGUAGAUAGGGAAAGGCAGAGCGAAUUCGCGAGCCCCCGCCGUUUAUGGCCCGGGGGCGGGUAUAUACACGCAAUACAUAUAUUUGUGUGGGUGUGUGUCGGAGGAAAACUGAAAGUGAGAAAACACGGCACAUGUACAUAGUCGCUUCUCUUCGGGGCCGUAAACGCAGUUAUAAACUACGGUUUCUUUCCCGGUAUAUUUCUUUUUUUUUUUACCUUUUUUGUUCGUUUUCUAGAAUUAAUUGCUCUGUAGAAGCACUUAGAUAGUAGUCAGCCAUAUUGAGAGUAUAGUAAUGAUAUAUGGAUAAACGUAUAUAAAAGUAUAUAUAUAAUGGAAGACAUAUAUGUAUAUAUAUAUAUAUAUAAAAUAUAUAUAUAUUUUAAAUGGUAUAGUUGGGGAUAUUACUGUUUCGAGAAAUAACCUGAUGGAGAGAAUCGUAUAUUUCGAAGGGGCGCGAGCCCGAAGAAAGUAUGACAGAGAGGUAAUGUUAAGGGUAGUGGAGAGACGACGGUUCUUCGGAGAUUGAUGGAGGUGUUGAUGGGCGUAGGUCGAAGGUGGGAAAUAAGCUGUAACUGUGACUAUGUGGAUCGUGGAGGGCAGGCUGCUGAUAUACUUACUCGAGAGCUUAACCCGGGAUUAAUUUAGGCACACUUUCGAACGUAGGAAAACACGAGAAAAGCGGUCUUCUCGAGGAUCUUCUUGCGUUUAAGAGAACAAAAAUCUACAGCAUGCAUAUGCAUUUGCAAUUCACAAAACGCUCAAACACAAAGUCUGACGAAAAAGGACCAGCAGUAGAUGCAGCCCGCCCAUCCGAGAUCCCCGCGCGUCAAAGCGUCACUGUGAUCUCGUAAUUAUUAAUGGAAUAUCUGAUUAUUAUAAAAAAUAAUCACACUAUGGUAUAUCCUUUUCUCCCCUUCCGUAAAAAGAGAAAACUCCCGGAGACACAACCUAAUCGUAUUUUCGCAACUAUGGGUUGCGCCUCUUUCAAUUGCAUUUUUUCGUCCCACCUUGUUCUGUUUUUUUUUUACUUUUCUUCUUUUUUUCUUAAUUUUUAUAAUACGCGUUCGCGCGCGCGUUAGUUCGUAAAAGUAAUGUUAUAAGUAUAUCUUAAUAAAUCUUUCAUAUGAUCUCCCGGAGGUAUUGAUUGUUAAGCGAAUUUAGCGGCCGACGCCGUUCGUUUCCGCCCGUCCGCGUGUAAAAAAAAAAACCUAUUUCUCACUCUUUCUCUCUCACAUCUAGUUCUCGAGUUUUUUUCUCUCUCAACACGGUUCAUCAAAACGAACGGCAUCGGCGCUCGAUUGGCCGUACCUCAGUUAGUUAAAGAUAGAAUUAAGCGAUUAAAAAGAGAUAAACAUUUAUAUUCGACGCGAGGGAAGACGAGGGAUAACAACGUUGUUGUAGCGAUCUUAUUCGGAUAGCUAGGUUUUAUAACAACGAAAACUGUUUAUCGCUGCGUUCGCACUCAGUAAUCAUCUGUAUAGCACGAUCACUGAUUAUUAUUCUUACUGAUUAUUAUUUCUAUUAUUAUACUUGUCGCAAAACGUGUAAAAGCUCGAGGUCUCAAACUCCCCGGCGCUAUAAAGAAAUAAUCGACUAGUCUUAUCGGACCAAGCAUUGAGAUUCGUGUAUUUUUGUUUAAUACAUAUUUUCUAAGAUUGAGAUUUUCCCCUCUACAUACAUAUAUAUAUACAUAUAUAUACAUAUAUAUUUACAAAUAUAUAUAUUUUUUUGUUUUAAAUAAUUGAUCAAUCCCCCUUCCUCCCGCAAUUCUCACCUCUUCUGUAAACGCGAUCCCGAAGUACCGAGUUCGAAAGCAUCGGGGACGAGGCUCUCUCGGGUUUGCUCGCUAUGACGGUAGUCCUUUGACAGGACUUCCCGCAGGAUAUCGCUCGACGCGAGACGCGAGAAGAAGAGUGGCCGCCUUGAUCGAGAGGCGUUGCGUUCGACUUGUUUCCAUAAAAGACCAUCUCUAAAUGUAAUAAAUUAUUGUAGUAAUGCGCAAGAGGCACUUGAUCUUUACAACAGUAUUUUAAAUCGGGGCGGAACUUGUUCGCGAUCGAUUGUGAUCAUUUUCUUUCAAUCGACACUCUUCUCGCGCUUUCACGGCGAGCGGGCGAGCCCCGGUUCAAAUAGCACAUAAAGAUAAAUGUAUAUCGAAGCAAGAAUUCGUGGUACACAUAAUUACAUGUGUGUAUACAUAUACAAUUACACAAUACACGCAACAUACACGGACAUACACUUGCCCUUAGUACUAUUAUAAUCGUCUAAGAUCUUAUGAGAAAUUUUAUUUGCUCAGACUGUAUAAGUUUGCCAUAAAAUGACUGUUGUACGUUCUUCGGAUGUGUAGUAGUACUCGUGUUUAGAAGUAAGGGAAUUAUUCGCGAUUAUUCUGUCGCUCCAGCCACAGUCAGGUGCCAACCGUCGCUCACGGUUUUGUUCUCCUUAUAGCGGAGUACGCUGGGACACGCAGCAGUGAUCCUCGACUCCGAUUGAUCGAUCGUUUGACGUCGUGCCACUUGGAAACCCCGCUUUUCUAAGGGUCUCUCGGGGUGACUCGUUCGAAAUACCGUAAUUUAAUCCUCUCCACUAAUUGUUAAUUCACGCGACUAAUACUGUUUUAUCGCAUAUUACCUAUAAUUUAUAUUAUGAUAUGAGCUUUCAAAUAUACAAACAUGACACAAAUAUCCAUUUGUUCUUGACGAAUCCUUUAAUUACCAACUUUUUUAUUAUCGAUUAUUGGGAGAAAUCUCUUGCUUGUAAAAUAUUCCAGCAAUGUUAAUAUCUUAUUCAAUAUUCAGUGUUUUGUAUAAUUCAUAUUUGUGUAUUGUAUUUAAUGCAAAUUUACUUUGUUUACGCAAUUCGUCAUUUUGUGAAAAAUUAAUUGGAUCAAAGCGAAAAGCGAGCGAGUCACACUCGGCAGACCGCCUUUGCCUAUCCCUUUGCUAUGUAAUCUUUCGUGCUCCACUUAAAAUAGCGAGAAGUUCAUAAACUCCGAAUGCCUACAAAAUACGUUACCUGUAGCCAAAUGUCCCGUGGACCAUAUAGACCGCCGCGAUCUGUUCAUUAUUUGCGAGAGAAGGAGAAAACGACAGAAAGAAAGAGAGAACGAAGAAACUUGGAUCAACCAAGCGUGCGUGAUAUAAAUCGUAUGAUAGAGAAACAAAGAGAGAAAGAGAGAGAGAGAGAGAGAGAGAGAGAGAGAGAGAAAGAGUACGAGAGUGAGAGAAAAAAACAAUAAUUCUUGAUAACAAAAAAAAAAAAAAAUUUAACAAAUAGAAUUUCUCCCAGGACGGGCGUUAUGGGAUCUCUCAAGUCGUAUGUAAAGCUCGCAGCUGCCUUGUGAUAGAGUCUGGACUGCAAAUUUUCUGACAGAAAACUCGUAAUCAGAUUAUAAAAAACUGUCAAAGGGAUACUUUAUGUGUACAUACGCAUAGAGAUGAAAUGAAACAUAAAUAUAACGAUAAAAAGACAAUACAUCUCGUCGAUCAAUUUUCGUCCAGCUGACCAAUCCAAAGAAGCGACCAAAUAAAUGAGGAGGGAAAUGAUGCGAGCGCUUGCACGACGCUUGAGGUGCUGUCCUUUUUCUUUUCGUUUUUUUUCUAUCGAUACUUCGCGAUAUUGAUGCUAUACGCGUGUCCGUAUAUUUUUUUUCUUUUGUUUUUUUUUAUUUUUAGAUAUAUAUGUAUAUGUAUAUCUUUCGUUUUGCUUCGAAUAUCCCGAUGCGAGUGAUUGGACGGAAGAUGUACGGCGGUCACGUGAUAUAUAUUAUACAAAUAUAUGGUAUUAUGUAAUAAUCUCCCUUCCUUAGUGCAGAUGUAAGCGAAAGAGAGCAGAGUACUGUUGAUUUGUUUUGUUUUAGUUUUGUCUCUUUUUUUUGUCUCCAUUAGUCCCAAUCGUAACGAUUGUUUCGUAACGAUCCACUUCUCCCCUUCGUCACUCUUCACGUCUUCUCCCAACUCGACUCUAUCUUCUCUCUUCUUUCGUUUCUCUUCGCCUCCAAUUAAAUUUUGGCUUAAGACGCGGAGCUCUCCGAACAACUCGGGAGUGUUCUCAAGGCAUAGAGGAGAGCCAGAAGAUCCAAGAGCUCCUCCUCCGUGCUUCUUCCUGUCUUUUCAACGGGCGCAGGAAUUGUUGUAACAAUCAAGAAUAUGGAGAACAUUCACUCGUACUUCAUUUCUAGGUAAUUUUUUUUUUUUUGCUACCAUUUCUUGCCCUUUGUCUUUUCACCUCUCUUCAAGCCCUUCUCUUCUCUUUCGCGCUCUAUCGAUGUUUUUAGUUUUAAACGAAAACGUAUGGUCGCGCGAUCGUUGGUACACGCCUCGGCUUCUCUCGCAAAACUAUGUUCGAGAGAUAUAGUCCUUCUAUGGAUUAUCACGAGCUGGAAAGUGUACGAUGAAAGUGAUACGCGUAGCGGGUAGCCGAUGCGUGGCCGAUGUGCGGAUCUAAUCAUACGAUGCUGUGCUAUCAUAAGUCAUUACAUAUACCAUAUGUUAUCGAUUACUUUUGAUUUUAGUUUAUGACAAUUUUUCGUGUUAUUAAUUUUAUUGAGUAUGAUUUUAAGUACUAUGUGCGAACGUCUAUCAUUAUUAUCUAUUAUCUAUUGAUAGAUUAUUAUUAUUAUUAUUAUUAUUAUUACCGGAUUUAUUAUUAUAUUAUUAUUAUUAAUAUUAUAUUAAUAUUAAUAUCAUCAUUAUUACGAUUAUUAUUAUCAUUGUAAUCUUAAUAUUUUGUAAACAUUACCACUCCCUAUGGUCGAUUAUUUUUACGAAUCGCUCUCGCGUCCGCUGCCAGACCGCCGGUCGACGAAGCGCCUUGAAAGCCGCCGCUUCAACGUGCCCGACUUACUCUUUUGACUACACUUUUGUUCUUCUCCCUUUCACGCUCGUUUCUCUCGUGACACGGCGCCUUCGAGGCGCGACGUCGACCAUUCGGGAGUUCGCAAAGGGACGGGGACAUCUCUCCGCUACCCGCAUGUCUUUCAUUGUACAGAUUUUUUCACUUUUAUAUAGUUAUCGAUAUAUCGUAACGUUACGCAACGUCGAUUGCGACGGUGACCACUUAUGCGUCGCCGUACCAUUAUUGUACUUUUUGAUUUUUCUAUUGAAUAAAUGUGAACACGCCGAAAGCAUUAA
Molecule: RNA transcript, 12142 nt
Organism: Solenopsis invicta (red fire ant)
Lineage: Eukaryota; Metazoa; Arthropoda; Insecta; Hymenoptera; Formicidae
Exons: 3
Source: RefSeq, a predicted model, not a curated record